This 245-nucleotide ribosomal RNA is filed under the name uncultured bacterium. RNAcentral's name for it is "partial 16S ribosomal RNA". It matches the Rfam family "Bacterial small subunit ribosomal RNA", at positions 333 to 570 of the family's 1533-position model. The record is from RNAcentral.
UUUGGCCUACGGGGCGCAGCAGUAGGGAAUCUUCCACAAUGGACGAAAGUCUGAUGGAGCAACGCCGCGUGAGUGAAGAAGGGUUUCGGCUCGUAAAGCUCUGUUGGUAGGGAAGAAAGAUAGAGGUAGUAACUGGCCUUUAUUUGACGGUAAUUAAUUAGAAAGUCACGGCUAACUACGUGCCAGCAGCCGCGGUAAUACGUAGGUGGCAAGCGUUGUCCGGAUUUAUUGGGCGUAAAGCGAGU